AGGUCUAGCUUGCUAGAUGCUGACGAGUGGCGGACGGGUGAGUAACGCGUGGGAAUCUGCCUUCUAGUGGGGGAUAGCCCGGAGAAAUCCGGAUUAAUACCGCAUACGCCUACGGGGAAAGGCCGGGAGUCUUCGGACCUGGCGCUAGUAGAUGAGCCCGCGUGAGAUUAGCUUGUUGGUGGGGUAAUGGCCUACCAAGGCAACGAUCUCUAGCUGGUCUGAGAGGACGAUCAGCCACACUGGGACUGAGACACGGCCCAGACUCCUACGGGAGGCAGCAGUGGGGAAUAUUGGACAAUGGGCGAAAGCCUGAUCCAGCAAUGCCGCGUGUGUGAAGAAGGCCUGAGGGUUGUAAAGCACUUUCAAUCGUGAAGAAAAGUUAGCAGGCUAAUACCCUCGUGACCUUGACGUUAACGAUACAAGUAGCACCGGCUAACUCCGUG
RNAcentral lists this ribosomal RNA (443 nucleotides) under uncultured bacterium. Its description in RNAcentral is "bacterial SSU rRNA". It matches the Rfam family "Bacterial small subunit ribosomal RNA", at positions 71 to 507 of the family's 1533-position model. The record is from RNAcentral.